This 1052-nucleotide ribosomal RNA is filed under the name Staphylococcus aureus. Its description in RNAcentral is "partial 23S ribosomal RNA". It matches the Rfam family "Bacterial large subunit ribosomal RNA", at positions 185 to 1240 of the family's 2925-position model. Lineage: Bacteria; Bacillati; Bacillota; Bacilli; Caryophanales; Staphylococcaceae. The record is from RNAcentral.
CCGGAGAACUGAAACAUCUUAGUACCCGGAGGAAGAGAAAGAAAAUUCGAUUCCCUUAGUAGCGGCGAGCGAAACGGGAAGAGCCCAAACCAACAAGCUUGCUUGUUGGGGUUGUAGGACACUCUAUACGGAGUUACAAAGGACGACAUUAGACGAAUCAUCUGGAAAGAUGAAUCAAAGAAGGUAAUAAUCCUGUAGUCGAAAAUGUUGUCUCUCUUGAGUGGAUCCUGAGUACGACGGAGCACGUGAAAUUCCGUCGGAAUCUGGGAGGACCAUCUCCUAAGGCUAAAUACUCUCUAGUGACCGAUAGUGAACCAGUACCGUGAGGGAAAGGUGAAAAGCACCCCGGAAGGGGAGUGAAAUAGAACCUGAAACCGUGUGCUUACAAGUAGUCAGAGCCCGUUAAUGGGUGAUGGCGUGCCUUUUGUAGAAUGAACCGGCGAGUUACGAUUUGAUGCAAGGUUAAGCAGUAAAUGUGGAGCCGUAGCGAAAGCGAGUCUGAAUAGGGCGUUUAGUAUUUGGUCGUAGACCCGAAACCAGGUGAUCUACCCUUGGUCAGGUUGAAGUUCAGGUAACACUGAAUGGAGGACCGAACCGACUUACGUUGAAAAGUGAGCGGAUGAACUGAGGGUAGCGGAGAAAUUCCAAUCGAACCUGGAGAUAGCUGGUUCUCUCCGAAAUAGCUUUAGGGCUAGCCUCAAGUGAUGAUUAUUGGAGGUAGAGCACUGUUUGGACGAGGGGCCCCUCUCGGGUUACCGAAUUCAGACAAACUCCGAAUGCCAAUUAAUUUAACUUGGGAGUCAGAACAUGGGUGAUAAGGUCCGUGUUCGAAAGGGAAACAGCCCAGACCACCAGCUAAGGUCCCAAAAUAUAUGUUAAGUGGAAAAGGAUGUGGCGUUGCCCAGACAACUAGGAUGUUGGCUUAGAAGCAGCCAUCAUUUAAAGAGUGCGUAAUAGCUCACUAGUCGAGUGACACUGCGCCGAAAAUGUACCGGGGCUAAACAUAUUACCGAAGCUGUGGAUUGUCCUUUGGACAAUGGUAGGAGAGCGUU